Molecule: non-coding RNA, 76 nt
Organism: Araneus ventricosus
Lineage: Eukaryota; Metazoa; Arthropoda; Arachnida; Araneae; Araneidae
Source: the annotation of a GenBank genome assembly
CCUGCCAUGGCUCUCAGUGGUUAGAGCAUGAAUGCUUGUAAACCAGGGGUCGUGAGUUCAAUCCUCACUGGUAUUA